RNAcentral lists this ribosomal RNA (489 nucleotides) under uncultured bacterium. RNAcentral describes it as "bacterial SSU rRNA". It matches the Rfam family "Bacterial small subunit ribosomal RNA", at positions 8 to 483 of the family's 1533-position model. The record is from RNAcentral.
AGAGUUUGAUCCUGGCUCAGGACGAACGCUGGCGGCGCGCUUAACACAUGCAAGUCGAGCGAGAACCAGGGCUUCGGCCCUGGGGACAGCGGCGAACGGGUGAGUAACACGUGGAUAACCUGCCCUCGGCACCGGGAUAGCCCGGGGAAACUCGGAUUAAUACCGGAUAGCCCUUUCGGCUUUCGAGCCGGUCGGAAAAGGUAGCUUCGGCCUCUGGCCGAGGAUGGGUCCGCGGCGGAUUAGCUUGUUGGUGGGGUAAUGGCCUACCAAGGCACCGAUCCGUAGCUGGUCUGAGAGGACGAUCAGCCACACUGGGACUGAGACACGGCCCAGACUCCUACGGGAGGCAGCAGUGGGGAAUCUUGCUGCAAUGGGCGAAAGCCUGACGCAGCGACGCCGCGUGAGGGAGGAAGGCCUUCGGGUUGUAAACCUCUUUCAGGAGGGACGAAGCUACUCGGGUGAAUAGCCCAGAGGGUGACGGUACCUCCA